UAGAAUCAUGUUAGAGCGCUGGGAUUGCCGGGUUGAUGAUUGCUCAGAAGAGGGGUGUGUUUUGGCAGUGGUGUCGGUUUGUGUUGAGCAUGCUGGUUGAGUUCUCGAGCUUGGAGUGUGUGUUCUUGUGCUUGGAGUUAGAGUUGGCCAAUGAAGUUGCCGAGGGCAUCUGCUGAUGGAGGUGCUGGUCAACUGGAGUUUCUUUUUGAAGAUGGUUGUUGGUGCAGAAACUCAAUUUUUAGUUGAAUUGUGUCGUGUUGGAGUUGUUGGAGGUCUUUAUCGGUGAUUGGACUUGGAGAUCUUGAGAGAGAGCUUUCAGAUUCUUCAAAUAUCUCCUCUAGGAAGUGUCUUCCUCUACUGCGUUGGGCAGCGACCACUCAACUCAGACGCCAUUGAUUCAUGUUGGUGGUGGCAUUUGCUUGUCGAAUCUGGGUGAAUUUUGGUGAGUUGGGUAGAUUUCUUGAUCUUUCUUGCUAUCUGUGCAUAGAGAAUGGAAAAAGAACUAAAGAAUUUGUGAACCUGAAGGGGAAUUCAGAGGCCGUGGUUGCCAAAUGAAGAGGUGUGGAUACUCCUCUUCGCUAGAUAUCUACUGCUAAUGAGAAAACAAAGGGGGAAAGGGCCUGAUCUCCAAGGGCUGAGAAGGAAAAAUGAGUGAAUGAGUGCUGUGUAUUGACAUGAAAACAAUGAAUGGAGAUAAGGAUCCACAACUCUGAAUUGCCCCCUUAGAAGACUAGUGGUUCUAAUUGCCAACAUAUGCUAAUAAAUGGUAUAUGCUGUGUAUGAUCAAAUCUAUGGCUCCAAUGCAGCUCUGGGUUCAAGGUUAGAAUCCCUUGAGCCUGGGUUUUUCAUUGAUACACCUACAUUGUAGUGCUUGCAUGGCAGCUUCCUACUUGUAGCAAGCUUGGACAUUGUCCUAGAAUGCCUGAGUUGAUUGGGUAUCUCUUGAAGGUGCAUCACAGCUUCAAGCAUCUCUUUUGCUUUGAAACGCCCUGGACAGGUGAGUGUAAUCCUGCUGUGAUAGUGCAGAGAUGCAUUGGAACAUGUCAACAAGCACGAGGUGAUACGGUCUUAUAUGCGUCAAUCCUGACGAGCAAAGAGGAGCAAAGGGGCUUCUUAUGAUUGCACAGCACUAACCUUGAUGUACAAAAGAUCAGCAGCAUUUCUUUUUUCAUGAGACCUCCAUAAAAUUUGUUCUCUGUGCCCAAUGGAUCCCUCAGUCCACCAUAUGCUGACAAAAGGCUCCACUGCAUUGAACGUCCCCAUGUGAUAUGCCAUAGGCUCAGACAUUGGCAACUUUGCUAUAGCCCCGCUUGCGGCUGCACUUGCUCCAUUUUGAUAGGGCUAGAUCUUUUAAUUUCUGGUUGCAUUCGUAGAGAACCC
Molecule: long non-coding RNA, 1380 nt
Filed under: Selaginella moellendorffii
Lineage: Eukaryota; Viridiplantae; Streptophyta; Lycopodiopsida; Selaginellales; Selaginellaceae
Description: long non-coding RNA (SMOE_LNC001304)
Source: RNAcentral